UACGGAAGGCAGCAGUGGGGAAUAUUGCACAAUGGGCGAAAGCCUGAUGCAGCUAUGCCGCGUGUAUGAAGAAGGCCUUAGGGUUGUAAAGUACUUUCAUCGGGGAGGAAAAACAAAACUAAUAAUUUUAUUUCUUGACGUUACCCGAAAAAGAAGCACCGGCUAACUCCGUGCCAGCAGCCGCGGUAAUACGGAGGGUGCUAGCGUUAAUCAGAAUUACUGGGCGUAAAGAGCACGUAGGUGGUUUUUUUAAGUCAGAUGUGAAUCCCUGGGCUUAACCUAGGAACUGCAUUUUGAAACUGAAAUACUAGAGUAUCGUAGAGGGAGGUAGAAUUCUAGGUGUAGCGGUGAAAUGCGUAGAUAUCUGGAGGAAUACCUGUGGCGAAAGCGGCCUCCUAAACGAAUACUGACACUGAGGUGCGAAAGCGUGGGGAGCAAACAGGGAUUAGAUAAC
This 454-nucleotide ribosomal RNA is filed under the name uncultured bacterium. Its description in RNAcentral is "bacterial SSU rRNA". It matches the Rfam family "Bacterial small subunit ribosomal RNA", at positions 340 to 786 of the family's 1533-position model. The record is from RNAcentral.